CCGUUCUCAGUUCGGAUCGGAGUCUGCAACCCGACUCCGUGAAGCUGGAUUCGCUAGUAAUCGCGCAUCAGCCAUGGCGCGGUGAAUACGUUCCCGGGCCUUGUACACACCGCCCGUCAAGCCAUGGAAGCCGGGGGCGCUUGAAGUGCGUUGCCGCAAGGCGCGCCCUAGAGCGAAACCGGUGACUGGGGCUAAGUCGUAACAAGGUAAC
This 211-nucleotide ribosomal RNA is filed under the name uncultured bacterium. RNAcentral's name for it is "partial 16S ribosomal RNA". It matches the Rfam family "Bacterial small subunit ribosomal RNA", at positions 1282 to 1500 of the family's 1533-position model. The record is from RNAcentral.